This 593-nucleotide long non-coding RNA is filed under the name Homo sapiens (human). RNAcentral's name for it is "HSALNT0335388". Lineage: Eukaryota; Metazoa; Chordata; Mammalia; Primates; Hominidae. The record is from RNAcentral.
GGGCAUUCCGGAGGCUGAGUGCAUGAAUGAUAACAAGCACUACUGCUGUACGGAAACUCAAAAUUUUCCAGUACAGGCGCUGCCCCUAGAGUUCCCAGUACAUCAACACCAGCCUGAGGAGCCGGCCUAGUACUUCCCACCACUGAAACCGCAGUCCAGGCAGCAAGAAAAGAUGGAGCCAUCACACCCGAGUCAAGAAAGCAACACCAUUCCUCAAGUUGUGGACCAUUAUCCAAGGGAAAAUCCCCCUCAAACUAAGGAAGACAGCUACCUUGAAUCGCACAGCUGCAAGAAUAUGAACUUUGCCAACAACCUGAGACAGCCUGAAAGCAGCUCCUUACCUAACCGAGCCUCCAGAUGAGACCCAGUCCUGGCUGACAUCUUGACUGCAGCCUUGAGAGGACCCAGUUAAGCUGUGCCUCGACUCCUGAGCCACAGAAACUGUGAGAUAAUAGAUGGAUGUUAUUUUAAGCUGCUAAGUUUCUGAUAAUUUGUUACACAGUGUAGAGAACUAAUAUACUGGUACUACUCUCUAUUUUCAACAAUAUCUAUUCUCAACACAGCAGCCAGAGGAUCCUGUUAAUAUGUACGUC